This is an RNA transcript of Mirounga angustirostris (Northern elephant seal), 4185 nucleotides long. It is a transcript of the gene named potassium-transporting ATPase alpha chain 2-like, with no coding region annotated. The transcript has 23 exons. The record is from RefSeq and is a predicted model, not a curated record. Lineage: Eukaryota; Metazoa; Chordata; Mammalia; Carnivora; Phocidae.
CCGCGGGAGGUGCGCCUAGGGCUCGCGCCGCCGCCGCCGCCCGAUCGGACCCCCGCCCCGCGCGCGCUGCCACCCAGAGGCCGGACCCCGAGCCCGCCUGCCGGCGGCACCACCACCCGCGCCAUGACCGAGAAAACACUAGAAAUUUACUCUGUGGAGCUCAGUGGAAUGAAAGACAUCGAACAAACAGACAAGGGGAACGGCAAGGAGAAGUACAGAGGCCUGAAGAACUGCUUCCAACCCAAAAAGAAUCACCGUAAGGAGGAGCUUACGAAAGAACUGGAUCUGGAUGACCACAAACUCAGCAUUAAGGAACUGGAAAAGAAAUAUGGUACAAACAUCAUUACAGGUCUCUCCAGUGCCCAAGCUGCUGAGCUCCUGGCUCGGAAUGGGCCCAAUGCCCUCACUCUUCCCAAGGAAACACCGGAGAUCAUCAAGUUCUUCAAGCAGAUGGUGGGGGGGUUCUCCAUCCUUCUGUGGAUAGGAGCCAUCCUGUGCUGGAUUGCAUAUGGGAUCCAGUACUCCAUGAAUACAUCCUCAUCCCUAAACAAUGUAUACUUGGGCUGCGUGCUUGCCUCGGUCAUUAUUUUAACAGGGAUCUUCGCUUACUACCAAGAGGCAAAAAGCACCAACAUCAUGGCCACCUUCAAUAAGAUGAUCCUGCAGCAAGCUCUUGUCAUUCGAGAUUCAGAGAAGAAGACAAUCCCUGCAGAGCAACUGGUGGUGGGAGACAUAGUGGAGAUUAGAGGAGGAGACCAGAUCCCUGCAGACAUCAGGUUGUUGUCUGUUCAGGGCUGUAAGGGAAGCGUAGAUAACUCAUCUCUCACUGGAGAAUCUGAACCCCAGCCCCGCUCCUCUGAGUUUACCCACGAUAGUCCCCUGGAAACAAAGAACAUUGGCUUCUAUUCUACAACCUGUCUGGAAGGCACAGCGACUGGCAUGGUCAUCAACACGGGCGACCGCACCAUCAUUGGUCAGAUCGCCUCACUGGCUUCAGGAGUCGGAAAUGAGAAGACACCCAUUGCCAUUGAGAUCCAGCACUUUGUUCAUAUCGUGGCCGGAGUGGCCGUCUCCAUCGGCAUCCUUUUCUUCAUCACCGCAGUAUCCCUGAAGUAUCAGGUCCUGGACUCCAUCAUCUUCCUCAUUGGCACAUUGUGGCCAAUGUGCCUGAGGGUCUCCUGGCCACUGUCACUGUGACUCUGUCGCUGACAGCUAAACGGAUGGCCAAGAAGAACUGCUUGGUGAAGAACCUGGAAGCAGUGGAGACCCUCGGCUCCACCUCUAUCAUUUGCUCAGACAAGACUGGGACUCUGACCCAGAACAGGAUGACUGUGGCCCAUCUGUGGUUCGACAAUCAGAUCUUCAUAGCUGACACCAGUGAAGACAAUUCAAACCAAGUCUUUGAUCAAAGCUCUGGAACCUGGGCCUCCUUAUCAAAGAUAAUAACAUUGUGUAACAGAGCUGAGUUCAGACCAGGACAAGAAAGCGUCCCCAUCAUGAAGAGAGUUGUGGCUGGAGAUGCCUCAGAAACUGCUCUUUUGAAGUUCUCAGAGGUCAUUUUGGGUGAUGUGAUGGAAAUUAGAAAAAGAAACCACAAAGUAGCUGAAAUUCCUUUUAACUCAACCAACAAAUUUCAGCUCUCCAUACACAAAACGGAUGACCCCAAUGACAAGCGCUUCCUCAUGGUGAUGAAAGGGGCCCCUGAGAGGAUCUUAGAGAAGUGCAGCACCAUCAUGGUCAACGGCCAGGAGCAGCCCCUGGACAAGAACACAGCCGAGGCCUUCCACACAGCAUACAUGGAGUUGGGAGGCCAGGGGGAGCGUGUGCUUGGUUUCUGUCAUCUCUACCUGCCAGCAGACGAGUUUCCAGAAACUUACACAUUUGAUAUAGACACCAUGAACUUUCCCACAUCUAACUUCUGUUUUGUGGGGCUCUUAUCUAUGAUUGAUCCCCCUCGCUCCACUGUACCUGACGCAGUCACCAAAUGUCAGAGUGCGGGGAUCAAGGUUAUUAUGGUUACAGGUGAUCUUCCAAUCACAGCCAAAGCUAUUGCCAAGAGUGUGGGUAUCAUUUCGGCCAACAGUGAGACGGUGGAAGACAUUGCAAAACGCCUCCACAUUGCUGUGGAGCAAGUUAACAAGCGGGACGCGAAAGCUGCGGUGGUGACUGGCAUGGAGCUGAAGGACAUGAGCCCGGAACAGCUGGAUGAGCUUUUAACCAACUACCCAGAGAUCGUCUUUGCCUGGACAUCCCCCCAGCAGAAGCUGAUCAUCGUGGAGGGCUGUCAAAUGCAGAAUGCAGUUGUCGCCGUGACAGGGGAUGGCGUUAACGACUCUCCAGCUCUAAAGAAGGCAGAUAUUGGGAUUGCCAUGGGGAUAACAGGUUCUGAUGCAGCCAAAAAUGCAGCUGACAUGAUCUUGCUGGAUGACACCUUUGCAUCUAUAGUCACAGGGGUGGAGGAAGGUCGCCUGAUCUUCGACAACCUAAAGAAGACUAUUGCUUACACCCUGACCAAGAACAUUGCUGAGCUGUGCCCCUUUCUGAUCUACACCACUGUUGGGCUUCCCCUGCCCAUUGGCACCAUUACUAUCUUGUUCAUCGACUUGGGCACAGACAUAAUCCCCUCCAUCGCCUUGGCUUAUGAGAAAGCUGAAAGUGACAUCAUGAACAGGAAGCCUCGCCACAAGAAGAAGGACAGACUGGUGAACGAGCAACUUGCCAUGUACUCUUACCUGCACAUUGGCCUCAUGCAAGCCGUGGGAGCUUUCGUGGUGUAUUUCACUGUGUAUGCGCAGGAGGGCUUCAAACCCAGCGCGCUCAUUAACGUCCGGGUGGAAUGGGAAAAUAGCGAUGUGGAUGGCUUGGAAGACAGCUAUGGACAACAGUGGACAUGGUACCAGAGGAAAUACUUAGAAUGGAUGGGCUAUACGGCUUUCUUUGUUGGCAUCAUGGUCCAGCAAACAGCAGAUCUAAUCAUCAGGAAAACCAGGAGGAACUCCAUCUUCCAGCAGGGUCUCUUCAGGUACUUAAAAGUCAUCUGGGUGGGGAUUGCCUCACAGAUUAUCAUUGCAUUAAUCCUCUCCUAUGGGCUUGGAAGUGUCACAGCCCUGAGUUUCACAAUGCUCCGGCCUCAGUAUUGGUUUGUGGCUGUGCCAUUUGCCAUUCUGAUUUGGGUGUAUGAUGAGGUGCGGAAACUUUUCAUUAGACUCUACCCUGGAAGCUGGUGGGAUAAGAACAUGUAUUAUUAAGCCCACCUGACUUCCCAAGCCUCCCAGUUGCACACUGGGGAUGUUCUUCAUCUUCUGGCUGCAUCUGGGAGACUGCUGCAGUAGGGACUUACCAAAAUGCAGAAAGAGAAGGCAGAAAAGAGUAUGAAAGAUACCCACUGAGGUUUUGUACUUUCAAGCAGAUAUUCAACUGUUUAUAUACGAUUUGCUUCUCUAUAUCCAUCUCCUUGUUCAAAAAUAUGUGAAUUUCAAGGGAAGAAUGACAUGUUUAUAUGUAUAUAAAGUUCACUCACGUUAAGUAGUCUUGGGUAAUCCGGCCACCUGCUCAGAUCUUCCUGCUAGAUAAGAUUGCUCAAACCUCCAUUCCAUACCCUAUUAAAAGUCCAGUGACCUUCCUAGAUUCUGUGAAUUCCCAGAGAGCUUAUAAUUUCAUAGUCACCUUGCUUAAAAAGGGUUAAUUCAGCUGAAGGUUUGCAAGAGGUAGAAGUGAUGGCAGGUUUACAUCACAGCAACAUGGACAACCUCAGUUUUGACUCUCAGACAUCCUUCUUUACGGUCCCCAGUCACCUAGCCGCAUCCCUGCUCAUCCCAUCCCUCACCACCUCACCAGUCCUUUGGCGCCCUCCCUCCUCCCAGCUGGACUCCUCCCUCCCUCCCACGUUGCUCUCCACCCCACCACCAACUCCAAAACUGAGCUCCACGUCCAUUUUGCACAUCCCAGCUCCAGAUGCUCUCCCAUCCCAAAGAGGUUUUCAUUUACCAGGAUUCAGCCUCAAUAGAGAAGCACUGGGGUUUAAAACAAUAAUACUUAUUUCAUGUAAAACGGUUGCAAAGCACUCUCCGGCACUAAUUUUAUGCCAGUUAUGUUUCAGGCUUUAACUUCGCUUUAUUCACAUGUGACACAUACAUCCAUGUUGACAGCCCCUAGGAGGCCUCAUUUUUAAGUAAAAGAUGUUUU